Molecule: ribosomal RNA, 305 nt
Filed under: uncultured bacterium
Lineage: Bacteria
Description: bacterial SSU rRNA
Rfam family: Bacterial small subunit ribosomal RNA
Source: RNAcentral
UCCUACGGGGGGCAGCAGUGGGGGAUAUUGCACAAUGGGGGAAACCCUGAUGCAGCGACGCCGCGUGAGCGAUGAAGUAUUUCGGUAUGUACAGCUCUAUCAGCAGGGAAGAAAAUGACGGUACCUGACUAGGAAGCCCCGGCUAACUACGUGCCAGCAGCCGCGGUAAUACGUAGGGGGCAAGCGUUAUCCGGAUUUACUGGGUGUAAAGGGAGCGUAGACGGCAGUGCAAGUCUGAAGUGAAAAUCCAGCGCUUAACGUUGGAAGUGCUUUGGAAACUGCCGGGCUGGAGUGCAGGAGGGGCG